RNAcentral lists this unclassified non-coding RNA (391 nucleotides) under soil metagenome. Its description in RNAcentral is "partial contains 5.8S ribosomal RNA, internal transcribed spacer 2, and large subunit ribosomal RNA". The stretch from base 1 to 122 matches the Rfam family "5.8S ribosomal RNA", at positions 35 to 154 of the family's 154-position model. The record is from RNAcentral.
GAUGAAGAACGUAGUGAAAUGCGAUACUUGGUGUGAAUUGCAGGAUCCCGUGAACCAUCGAGUCUUUGAACGCAAGUUGCGCCCGAAGCCAUUAGGCCGAGGGCACGCCUGCCUGGGCGUCACACGUCGUUGCCCCCCCAUCUACUCCUUCGGGAUUGCGGGGGGCGGAUGAUGGCCUCCCGUGCGCCUCGCCGCGCGGUUGGCAUAAAUGCCAAGUCCUCGGCGACGCACGCCACGACAAUCGGUGGUUGCGAAACCUCGGUUGCCCGUCGUGUGCGGUCGUCGCGCAUCGAGGGCUCGAAAAAAUUGCCGGGUUCCGGCUCGGCUUUCAACGCGACCCCAGGUCAGGCGGGGCUACCCGCUGAAUUUAAGCAUAUCAAUAAGCGGAGGA